AUAUCUUUCAUAUGAUUAAUCUGAGAGGGGCUUGACUUUCUCUUACUGGUUCUAUACUACCAUUAGCCAUUUGCUGGCAGAAUGCCCACAGACCACAGGAAAUCUAACCAUCCCAUAAAGAAAACGUAUCAGUGAGUGUCUUUUAGUUAGCCCAAAGAGGGGAAAGAUGAAUGGUCUGAGAGCCUCCAACAAGACCUACACAAGGAUCUUGCAUGCCACGCAGCCCAAGCAUGGCGGCCUCCACCCUUGACUUGGCUAAUGUGCUGUAUGUCACCUUUUUCUGCUUUCCAGUGCAAUGGGCCUUGCAUCGGGCCUCACCUAGCUGUGCAACACAGACAAGUCUUCUGCCAGACACGGGAUGGCAUCACCUUACCAUCAGAGCAGUGCAGUGCUCUUCCGAGGCCUGUGAGCACUCAGAACUGCUGGUCAGAGGCCUGCAGCGUACACUGGAGAGUCAGCCUAUGGACCCUGUGCACAGCUACCUGCGGCAACUAUGGCUUCCAGUCCCGGCGUGUGGAGUGUGUGCAUGCCCGCACCAACAAGGCAGUGCCUGAGCACCUGUGCUCCUGGGGGCCCCGGCCUGCCAACUGGCAGCGCUGCAACAUCACCCCAUGUGAAAACAGUAUGUUCCAACCCCAAAGAACCUUCUGCAAAUUCCCCAUAGAGCAUCGAGUGCAGAGAACAGUCCCUGGGACAGACCCUGAGCAUAGGGCAUGGGGUCAGCUUCCCCAGGGAUUGUGAGCUGGUGGUGGAGUUGAGCAUUUUUAGUGGGCUGGAUGGGUAUAUGCGGAUAGGUGUAUAUAGGCAUGACAGGGUAUUCCCCAAGGGCUUCCACGAUCUCCAUCCUGGCCCUGAGAGAGCCAGGUGCUAUUGGCCCAGUGCUGGAGGAAAUCAGCCUCCAGUUCCCCUGCAGUCAGUCUGGCUGGUGCCCACAGGGGUUGACUCAUCAACAACUCUCAGGGGUCAGGCUACUAAACAGAAAAUGCUGUUAACUCUAAAGGAGCACAGAGUGCCUCCUGCUCAGCCAACCAGCUCUGCGCCCAUCACAGCUCUGCUUCUCACCCAACACGGACCAGAUGACCCCCUCCCUCCCAACCCCACAGGCAUCCCCUGGAACUGUCCAGGACCCCCCCAGCCUUGGAAUUUGAUACUCACUUCACUCCUUCCUCCUCAUCCCAAUACCAUCAUUUGUAUUCCAGUUGGGAAGGAGUUUAUUUUUUUCUUCCUCUGAACCCAAAUCAGAGGUACUUACCCAUGAGAAAGGCAGCAAAGCUUGAGGCAAAGAGUAGGAAGUAAAAACCAAAUGUAGCUGUGCAGUUUUUGUAGCUGUUGUUUUCUCCCAAACUGGGCCUCACUGAGCAAUAAAUUCCCAACACUAAGGCAGAUGCCAUGUAGGCAAAUAGCCCACUUCUUUUUACACGCUGGGGGAUGGAUGAUCUCUGUACUCGGGUAGUGUUAACCCAUGUUUGUGUCAGUGGCUCACCAUGCUCAGAGAGAACCAGUAUUCAAUGCACAUAGUUAAAACUUACCAAACCAAGUCAGCACAAUAUUUAAGACCAUCUAGUCUGUGCCAACACUGAACUAGAACGUCCUGGUGCUGUGUUUAAGGCAUGAUGGGUAGAAGGAGGAGAGACUGGAGGGCACAUGAAAAUAAAGCUUAACGGAGAAAGUAGGCCCAAGUACCUGGGGAUGGGGGCAUCCGACGCAAGUCUCACUUGCACACUCCUGCAAAGUGGGAGAGAACGCAGUGCUGGGAACCAUCUUGAGGAGGAGAGUCAUUUACUUAAAAUACCAAAACCCAUGGGAAAAGGCAGGUUUGCCUAGGAGGAGAGGUGGUCACCUAGGAGAUGAGGUAAUCCCAAGAAGAUAGAGAAAACAGGCACCUUCAGGAAGUAGAGGGAGCUGCAGAAAACAAGCAGACAGCCCAGGGAGGGGCCCCAUCAUUCAGCCAGACAGCUGCAGGCUGGUGCCACCCCUGCUGUUGGCAGCCUUGGGGAGCAAGUGGCUGAGCUCUGUCAAAGUGAGGCUGGAGAGCGGUGGCCAAGGCAGACCCCAGGAUGUACCCCAGUGGCCCAAACCCCCAGCUGCACCUCACACAAGCUGCGUUCAUUAGUCUCUGUUUCACAUCUCUUUUCUGUCUCCUCUCCCGACCCUGUCCUCCUUUCCCAGUGGAGUGCAGAGACACCACCAGGUACUGCGAGAAGGUGAAACAGCUGAAACUCUGCCAACUCAGCCAGUUUAAAUCUCGCUGCUGUGGAACUUGUGGCAAAGCGUGAAGAUAGGGCGUGGGGAAAAACUCUACCCUGGCCACACGAAGGACUCACGCAACCACCUCGGACAGAACCUAAGCUUUGUUCAUUUUAUUUAUUUAUUUCCCCCUCCGCACCCCACACACACCCUUCCAACCUCCUCCACCUCCACCCUCAAGCAUGAGGACGUCCGCAUGUUUUCUCUUUCAGUUAGCUGGAGGACAGGAUGUUGGGAAAGGAAAGGACAGAUGUCUAAAGGAGGUUGCAGAGCAGGCCAGGCAGACAAUGGGGGCUCCCUUGAAGAGCUUCCUCCCUCCCAAACCUGGGUCUCAAAGACCUAGGAAGAGGCAGGCACAGCCCCUGGGGACAGCAGGGAGCCAGAAGGUUUGUAGCCUAUUGGUGCAAACAUUGGACAAAUUCCUGUGUCUUUCCUAGAAGCGCACUAUCACAAACACAGGAGUGUGUUGCUCCUUUGUCUCCUCUUCCCCAUCUGUCCCUUUAGUCAUGGUUAGGACAAAUGGGGAGGGGACACCAUGCUGAGGCAGAAACUAGCCCAGAACUCAUUUAUUCUAGUGGGGGAGUGCAGAGAGAGAAGAACUCAAAUCACCAGUAGGGAGAGGUAAAAAAGCAAACAAAAGCAGGCCCUAAGGCACACAACAUUGCAGAAAAUGAGGACAGGAGGGGAGGGAAGGGACAGAAGCAAAAAGGAGCCUGUGGUGUUCCCCAGUGGGGCAGGGUGAGCAGGGGCUUCCAGGCUGCACGAGGCUCCUGGACUGGCUCUGAUCCCAUGCAUGUGCGCAUGCUCAGAGCCCUGCUGCCAACAACAGAGCACUGCGCUGCGUGGGAGUCCGCACUCCCCAGGCUAUCAGAGUCAACGUCCUGCCUGUGCAGCUGCGGCAAAGCCAGCAAGAGGUGGGUCUGGCCAUGCAGUAAGGCCACCCUGGCACCUGUUUAUCUAAAUCAGAAGUCCCCCAGCCCCACACUAACUGCUGCUGUGGGCCAGGGCAAAUGGCCCAGGUUUUCUGCCUUCUAGGACCUUUGCUGCUCCACUGAAGGGCCAGGGACUAUGGUCAACUUGUCAACAUCCACCCAUUAACUAGUCACUGUGCCAGAGAGUAUCUAUCUGUCAGGCUGUCAGGUUGUAGCAACCUCUUCAUUCCAGAGCUGGCCAGGGACCGGGUUGGGACAAUGGGUUUAUGAGUGUCCACAGUACACCCUCCCUCUCCCAGCCUCCACCCCAGGGUUUGCAGGCCCUCCCGCAUGUAGUAUUUAUCUAGCAAGGUAGGGUGGUGGAGGCAGCACCCUGGCAAAGCAGCUCACACACUGCAGCCACACUCAUCAGCUGUGGUGUGGUGAGGCGGCCGGAGCAAAGUCAAGCAGCAAAAUGAAAACUCUGGGACUCUUUGGUAAAGUCCUCAUUAAGCCGAGCAGCUUUGGCCAAGUAAUUUUUGCCUCCUUCCCCCGAGUGGCCUGAGUUUAGGAGCAAGGGUGGCCAGAGUCCCUUACCCACAGAUAAGCCUCCCCUCAUGAAAUGCCACUCACCCCGGGCUACCAUUGACAUCAGGGCUGCAUUUUCCAGCCAGCCUGGAAGUAAAAUUUGAGAGGAAGACAAUAUUAAUCUGUGUCCCCCCCUAGUGAGCUGUGGACAGUUAAGUUGGGUCUCUUUCUUCCUCACCACAAAAACAGGCUCUAAGAAAUCACGUUACUAAAAAAUCAGUGUAACGUCUGUUUAAAAUAAAAAAAGAAUGUUUUGUAUGUCUGUAUAUCUUUUGUGAAUAUUUAUUAGGAUUUCUUGUAUAAAAAAGUGCAAUAUUAAUAAUUGUACAUUGUCAUCCAGAAGCAAAACUAUUUGGGGGGACUUUAUUAACUUCCUGCAGUUGUGUUCCUGUAAACUCAGUAGUGAUUGAUUAUUAUACUUUUCCUAUUUUUAAUAGAACCUGGUGUUUGUUUAACUCUGGAUCCAUUCACUGUACAGGAUGUGUUGUAAAAACUAACAUGGGAUGCUGAGGCAGUAAGAGGGAAUUCAUUUGUGGCAUAAUAGUUAUGCAUGGAAUGAUAAAGACAAAUUCCAUACUGCUACUUCUGCGGUUAAUUAUUUCUAGUUCGAUACGAUUGAAAAUCAGUGGUCACUAUUUACAGUUCCUAAAGAGCAAGCAUCCUCCAGCUCCAUGUUGGGUUGGAGCAGUUGGCAGUGGGUCUCAGUGAGCUGGCAGAACCUAGGUUUGGGUGGGGAGCAGAAUGCUCAUUGCAUGAAAUGAAUGUACAUUUAAUGUUUGUUUGUUCUGUGAAUUGCAACUCAGCAGCACCACAAGACAAUGAAGGCUGCUGGCUAAUGUGGAAGGAGGCACUUUCUCCUCUAAAACACAGAACUGUAUUUGUAUUUUUUGUACAGAUAAUACAGCUUAUUUAUUU
Molecule: small RNA, 4661 nt
Filed under: Pongo abelii (Sumatran orangutan)
Lineage: Eukaryota; Metazoa; Chordata; Mammalia; Primates; Hominidae
Description: retained intron
Source: RNAcentral